CCAUAGACUGUAUAUACUAUGGACAACUUGGUUCCGCCUACCGCCUGUAUACGGAUUUGAAGCCAAAAAGCUCUCGGUAUUUCCGGGAUUUUUCUUCAUUUCCUGAAACCAGCGCUGCGCAGUAGCAAUGCGAGCAAUCGGCCGCGCAGUCGCAGAGAGUCGCUGUGAUGACGCUCCGCUCAAACAGCGUGUCCCCCGGGAGAGCUACGCAAUACCUAAACGCCCAUAGGCUGUAUCAGGUGUCAAUCAUAGCAAACAUGAACCCCCUAAUAACUUUUAAAAACCGAACUUCACAGAAGAGAGAGGACUUGAG
Molecule: non-coding RNA, 313 nt
Organism: Xyrichtys novacula (pearly razorfish)
Lineage: Eukaryota; Metazoa; Chordata; Actinopteri; Labriformes; Labridae
Source: the annotation of a GenBank genome assembly